GUCUCUUCUUGUGUCGUCUGUUUGGCGCUAUAGUACUUCAGCCAUUUAAUGAUGCUCUCUCCACACUGGGAUAAAUAAAAACAAACACAUCACAUCUAAUGUGGACAUAUCAGAUGCCUUGUGAAACAUAAAGGAACAAUUCAGUUUCGAGCUAUGGCACUUGCCGCAUAGAUGUGGGGGGGCCUUGCACCAAUAGUGAUAGUUACCACUGCAUUUAGAAAUUGAAAGCAUUCGUGCAGACAAGGAUGAUUCUUUAUAUUUUUGGCUACCACUUCAAAUGCCUCCACCAAGUGUUACAAUGCUGCACGCAGCCAUACUAAGGAUCUCGCAACAACACCUGCAGGUAAAAAGCAGAAGCAGUCAAAGUGCUGGUGUGUUCUGGACACUAUGUUUGAAAACUUUUAGGCAAGAAGAGUGCAAGAAGCAGACAUAACUGCAUUUAUUUCCAUAAUUCCCCAUUUAAAUGGCCUUUUCUUUUUGCUUAGACAAUGCCUACGCCUAGCCACAGCAGCUCCCUCAUACAGACUCCGCAAACCAAGAGGCCGUGGAGGCAAAUGCAGGCAGCCAGCACACCUCGAACAGCCACCUUGACUGCGAGUGUGUCACCCUAGUCGCCAAGGAAACAUUUGAGGGAAAGUGACAGGCAAUGUGAACAGCCACUCCUCCAUGUAAACAAUACUCUUUCUCUCGGAUGACUCCUACGCCUCACCACGCCAGCACACUUGUGCACAAAGAUGCCGCAGAGGCACGUGCAGGUCAGAGGCAAGAAGCAGUGGCACUGGUGUCGACAUUUACCCAAUUUCUUUUUCUUACACUGAGGCAGCCAGCACACCUCGAACAGCCACCUCGACUGCGGGUGUGUUAGUUGAUCCCUGUUGUACAUAUGCUCAUAAUAAACUUCAGUAAACUUGAACUUCAUAAUAAACUUGAAGGCAAAUGGUA
Molecule: long non-coding RNA, 942 nt
Organism: Dermacentor albipictus
Lineage: Eukaryota; Metazoa; Arthropoda; Arachnida; Ixodida; Ixodidae
Source: RefSeq, a predicted model, not a curated record